This 253-nucleotide ribosomal RNA is filed under the name uncultured bacterium. Its description in RNAcentral is "partial 16S ribosomal RNA". It matches the Rfam family "Bacterial small subunit ribosomal RNA", at positions 524 to 776 of the family's 1533-position model. The record is from RNAcentral.
UACGGAGGGUGCAAGCGUUGUUCGGAAUCACUGGGCGUAAAGCGCGUGUAGGCGGCCUUCUCAGUCUGAUGUGAAAGCCCGGGGCUCACCCCCGGAAGUGCAUUGGAUACUGGAAGGCUGGAGUACCGGAGAGGAGGGUGGAAUUCCUGGUGUAGCGGUGAAAUGCGCAGAUAUCAGGAAGAACACCCGUGGCGAAGGCGGUUCUCUGGGACGGUACUGACGCUGAGACGCGAAAGCGUGGGGAGCGAACAGG